CCCACCUGCCUUAUCCUCCAAAAGUGCUGAGAUUAUAGGCAUGAGCCACAAGCCCAGCCGACAUUAUUUUUUAUAUCGUAAUUGCUCUCCAGAGCUUUAUACAAGGAAAUGCAAUGAGUCAAUAUACUUACUGAGAUUGCAGAAGAGACUGAACACUGCGCUAGGCUCUGAAGAGAAAGAUGAAAAAGAAGAAAGUGCUCCUGAGUAUAUGACUACUUGUACUUGCUAGCACUGAGGCAAGUACAAACUCUAGGCAUCAGGCUUUUGGUCUCACUCUUAGCGAAUUUGAACACUGGCUUUUUUGUUGGGCUUCCAUUCUUCUCUCAGCGCAAGAAUACCAACGUUUAUGACCCAGGAAGCACCAACUUAUACUUCACAGAGCUAAGAAACAGCAUUUCGCCAUGUCACGCAGGCUGGUCUUCAACUCCUGGACUCAAGCUAUCCACGGGCCUCGGCCUCCCAAAGUGCUAGGAUUACAGGCAUGAGCCACUAUGUCCGGCUUGGAGUUUUUAGUCUCAUCAAACCAACUCACCCAAAUGUCCCUUGGUGACAAAAAGUUUUCUGAAAGAUUAAGUAAUCUUUGUUUCCCAAGCCUGACAAAAUAAAAAGUUUUCUGUCUCUCU
This 623-nucleotide long non-coding RNA is filed under the name Homo sapiens (human). RNAcentral describes it as "HSALNT0306092". Lineage: Eukaryota; Metazoa; Chordata; Mammalia; Primates; Hominidae. The record is from RNAcentral.